RNAcentral lists this ribosomal RNA (569 nucleotides) under Cellulosimicrobium sp. YM11. Its description in RNAcentral is "bacterial SSU rRNA". It matches the Rfam family "Bacterial small subunit ribosomal RNA", at positions 923 to 1490 of the family's 1533-position model. Lineage: Bacteria; Bacillati; Actinomycetota; Actinomycetes; Micrococcales; Promicromonosporaceae. RNAcentral also lists the same sequence under 1 other name. The record is from RNAcentral.
GCACAAGCGGCGGAGCAUGCGGAUUAAUUGGAUGUAGCGAGAUGAACCUUGUCAAGACUUGACAUGCACGAGAAGCCACCAGAGAUGGUGGUCUCUUUGGACACUCGUGCACAGGUGGUGCAUGGUUGUCGUCAGCUCGUGUCGUGAGAUGUUGGGUUAAGUCCCGCAACGAGCGCAACCCUCGUCCCAUGUUGCCAGCGGGUUAUGCCGGGGACUCAUGGGAGACUGCCGGGGUCAACUCGGAGGAAGGUGGGGAUGACGUCAAAUCAUCAUGCCCCUUAUGUCUUGGGCUUCACGCAUGCUACAAUGGCCGGUACAAAGGGCUGCGAUACCGUAAGGUGGAGCGAAUCCCAAAAAGCCGGUCUCAGUUCGGAUUGGGGUCUGCAACUCGACCCCAUGAAGUCGGAGUCGCUAGUAAUCGCAGAUCAGCAACGCUGCGGUGAAUACGUUCCCGGGCCUUGUACACACCGCCCGUCAAGUCACGAAAGUCGGUAACACCCGAAGCCCAUGGCCCAACCGUUCGCGGGGGGAGUGGUCGAAGGUGGGACUGGCGAUUGGACUAAGUCGAA